GACGAACGCUGGCGGUGUGCUUAACACAUGCAAGUCGAACGGCAACGCCCUGAUAUCGUGCUGUGCUCGAGUGGCGAACGCGUGCGUAACACGAGAGUAACCUGCCCUAGUCUUUCGGAUGACUUCAGGUAACUGGGGCUACUACAGGACAGGAUCCCCUCCAGCAUGGAGGGGGUUGGAAAGUCUCGGCGGGUGGGGAUGGACUCGCGGCUUAUCAGCUUGUUGGUGGGGUAGUGGCUUACCAAGGCAUUGACGGGUAGCCGGCCUGUGAGGGUGACCGGCCACAUGGGGACUGAGAUACGGCCCAGACUCCUACGGGAGGCAGCAGUGGGGAAUAUUGCACAAUGGGCGGAAGCCUGAUGCAGCAACGCCGCGUGCGGGAUGACGGCCUUCGGGUUGUAAACCGCUUUCGCCUGUGACGAAGCGUGAGUGACGGUAAUGGGUAAAGAAGCACCGGCUAACUACGUG
This 468-nucleotide ribosomal RNA is filed under the name uncultured bacterium. Its description in RNAcentral is "partial 16S ribosomal RNA". It matches the Rfam family "Bacterial small subunit ribosomal RNA", at positions 28 to 507 of the family's 1533-position model. The record is from RNAcentral.